This 301-nucleotide ribosomal RNA is filed under the name uncultured bacterium. Its description in RNAcentral is "partial 16S ribosomal RNA". It matches the Rfam family "Bacterial small subunit ribosomal RNA", at positions 509 to 807 of the family's 1533-position model. The record is from RNAcentral.
CAGUCGCCGCGGUAAUACGUAGGUGGCAAGCGUUGUCCGGAACUAUUGGGCGUAAAGGGCUCGCAGGCGGUUUCUUAAGUCUGAUGUGAAAGCCCCCGGCUCAACCGGGGAGGGUCAUUGGAAACUGGGAAACUUGAGUGCAGAAGAGGAGAGUGGAAUUCCACGUGUAGCGGUGAAAUGCGUAGAGAUGUGGAGGAACGCCAGUGGCGAAGGCGACUCUCUGGUCUGUAACUGACGCUGAGGAGCGAGAGCGUGGGGAGCGAACAGGAUUAGAUACCCGCGUAGUCCCUGUCUCUUAUAC